CUCNUCCCCCUCGACAGUUUAAAAACUGGAUACUGAAUACGGCCGUGGGCCUGGGUGGUUCCCGGUAACACGAAAGCCAACAGCCGCCGGGUUGCUAGCUGNUGCCCUAGACCUUGCAGCGUUGUUUGUUAGAUACGACAACAACGCAAUCCGACCUCAGAUCAGGCGGGAUUACACGCUGAACUUA
RNAcentral lists this ribosomal RNA (187 nucleotides) under Tridacna crocea. Its description in RNAcentral is "partial 28S ribosomal RNA". The record is from RNAcentral. Lineage: Eukaryota; Metazoa; Mollusca; Bivalvia; Cardiida; Cardiidae.